RNAcentral lists this transfer RNA (71 nucleotides) under Loxodonta africana (African savanna elephant). It matches the Rfam family "tRNA". From Rfam's summary of the family: Transfer RNA (tRNA) molecules are approximately 80 nucleotides in length. Their secondary structure includes four short double-helical elements and three loops (D, anti-codon, and T loops). Further hydrogen bonds mediate the characteristic L-shaped molecular structure. tRNAs have two regions of fundamental functional importance: the anti-codon, which is responsible for specific mRNA codon recognition, and the 3' end, to which the tRNAs corresponding amino acid is attached (by aminoacyl-tRNA synthetases). tRNAs cope with the degeneracy of the genetic code in two manners: having more than one tRNA (with a specific anti-codon) for a particular amino acid; and 'wobble' base-pairing, i.e. permitting non-standard base-pairing at the 3rd anti-codon position. The record is from Rfam by way of RNAcentral. Lineage: Eukaryota; Metazoa; Chordata; Mammalia; Proboscidea; Elephantidae.
CCAUUGGUGGUUCAGUGGUACAAUUCUCACCUUCCAUGCAGGAGACCCAGGUUUGAUUCCUGGCCAAUGCA